Molecule: ribosomal RNA, 402 nt
Filed under: uncultured bacterium
Lineage: Bacteria
Description: bacterial SSU rRNA
Rfam family: Bacterial small subunit ribosomal RNA
Source: RNAcentral
UGGGGAAUAUUGCACAAUGGGGGAAACCCUGAUGCAGCAACGCCGCGUGAGUGAUGACGGUCUUCGGAUUGUAAAGCUCUGUCUUCAGGGACGAUAAUGACGGUACCUGAGGAGGAAGCCACAGCUAACUACGUGCCAGCAGCCGCGGUAAUACGUAGGUGGCAAGCGUUGUCCGGAUUUACUGGGCGUAAAGGGAGCGUAGGUGGAUAUUUAAGUGGGAUGUGAAAUACUUGGGCUUAACCUGGGUGCUGCAUUCCAAACUGGAUAUCUAGAGUGCAGGAGGGGAAAGUAGAAUUCCUAGUGUAGCGGUGAAAUGCGUAGAGAUUAGGAAGAAUACCAGUGGCGAAGGCGACUUUCUGGACUGUAACUGACACUGAGGCUCGAAAGCGUGGGGAGCAAACA